UAAUGUAUUAGAUAUAUAAAUCCGCAUUUACUAUUACACACUACAAAAAACGAUACUCUUUCUACGUAUAACGAACUGCUAUUUAUAACUAGGUAGGUAAGGUUAAGAACUGCGACCCCUACACAAAACGAACCGCUACCAGAAAAGUAGGUUAGGUUAGGUUAGAAUUGCGUCCAUUACACUAAACGAACCGCUACCAGAAAAGUAGGUUAGGUUUGAAUUGCGACCCUUACAGAAA
Molecule: long non-coding RNA, 238 nt
Organism: Cydia fagiglandana
Lineage: Eukaryota; Metazoa; Arthropoda; Insecta; Lepidoptera; Tortricidae
Exons: 3
Source: RefSeq, a predicted model, not a curated record